This 262-nucleotide ribosomal RNA is filed under the name uncultured bacterium. RNAcentral's name for it is "partial 16S ribosomal RNA". It matches the Rfam family "Bacterial small subunit ribosomal RNA", at positions 524 to 784 of the family's 1533-position model. The record is from RNAcentral.
UACAGAGGUCUCAACCGUUGUUCGGAUUCAUUGGGCGUAAAGGGUGCGUAGGCGGUCGCGCAAGUCGGAUGUGAAAUCUCAGGGCUCAACCCUGAAACUGCAUUCGAUACUGCGUGGCUAGAGUGCUGGAGAGGAGACUGGAAUUUGCGGUGUAGCAGUGAAAUGCGUAGAUAUCGUAAGGAAGACCAGUGGCGAAGGCGAGUCUCUGGACAGCAACUGACGCUGAGGCACGAAGGCCAGGGGAGCAAACAGGGAUUAGAAC